RNAcentral lists this ribosomal RNA (496 nucleotides) under uncultured bacterium. Its description in RNAcentral is "partial 16S ribosomal RNA". It matches the Rfam family "Bacterial small subunit ribosomal RNA", at positions 28 to 523 of the family's 1533-position model. The record is from RNAcentral.
GAUGAACGCUAGCGGGAGGCCUAACACAUGCAAGCCGAGCGGUAUUUGUCUUUCGGGACAGAGAGAGCGGCGUACGGGUGCGGAACACGUGUGCAACCUGCCUUUAUCAAGAGGAUAGCCUUUCGAAAGGAAGAUUAAUACUCUAUAAUAUAUUGAUUGGCAUCAGUUAAUAUUGAAAGUUACGGCGGAUAAAGAUGGGCACGCGCAAGAUUAGCUAGUUGUGUGAGGUAAGGGCUCACCAAGGCGAUGAUCUUUAGGGGGCCUGAGAGGGUGUGCCCCCACACUGGUACUGUAACACGGACCAGAAUCCUAGGGGAGGCAGCAGUGAGGAAUAUUGGUCAAUGGGUGCAAGCUUGAACCAGCCAUCCCGCGUGAAGGACGACUGCCCUAUGGGUUGUAAACUUCUUUUGUAUAGGGAUAAACCUCUCCUCGUGAGGAGAGCUGAAGGUACUAUACGAAUAAGCACCGGCUAACUCCGUGCCAGCCGCCGCCGUAA